UCCGGUUGAUCCUGCCAGAGGCCGCUGCUAUCCGGCUGGGACUAAGCCAUGCUAGUCUAGGGGCUUGUACUCCUUCGGGGGUGCAAGCACCGGCGGACGGCUCAGUAACACGUGGACAACCUGCCCUCGGGUGGGGGAUAACCCCGGGAAACUGGGGCUAAUCCCCCAUAGGUGAUGGGUGCUGGAAUGCCCCAUCUCCGAAAGCGCUUAGCGCCCGAGGAUGGGUCUGCGGCGGAUUAGGUAGUUGGUGGGGUAACGGCCCACCAAGCCUAAGAUCCGUACGGGCUGUGGGAGCAGGAGCCCGGAGAUGGACCCUGAGACAAGGGUCCAGGCCCUACGGGGCGCAGCAGGCGCGAAACCUCCGCAAUGCGGGAAACCGCGACGGGGUUAGCCGGAGUGCCCGUGCAUUGCACGGGCUGUCGGGGUGCCUAAACAGCACCCCAUAGCAAGGGCCGGGCAAGGCCGGUGGCAGCCGCCGCGGUAAGACCGGCGGCCCGAGUGGCGGCCACUCUUAUUGGGCCUAAAGCGUCCGUAGCCAGCCCAGUAAGUCCCCCGGGAAAUCUGGUCGCUUAACGAUCAUACUUCCGGGGGAUACUGCUGGGCUAGGGACCGGGAG
This 616-nucleotide ribosomal RNA is filed under the name uncultured archaeon. RNAcentral's name for it is "bacterial SSU rRNA". It matches the Rfam family "Archaeal small subunit ribosomal RNA", at positions 1 to 605 of the family's 1478-position model. The record is from RNAcentral.